UACGAAGGGGGCUAGCGUUGCUCGGAAUCACUGGGCGUAAAGCGCACGUAGGCGGCUUCUUAAGUCAGGGGUGAAAUCCUGGAGCUCAACUCCAGAACUGCCUUUGAUACUGAGGAGCUUGAGUCCGGGAGAGGUGAGUGGAGCUGCGAGUGUAGAGGUGAAAUUCGUAGAUAUUCGCAAGAACACCAGUGGCGAAGGCGGCUCACUGGCCCGGUACUGACGCUGAGGUGCGAAAGCGUGGGGAGCAAACAGG
RNAcentral lists this ribosomal RNA (253 nucleotides) under uncultured bacterium. Its description in RNAcentral is "partial 16S ribosomal RNA". It matches the Rfam family "Bacterial small subunit ribosomal RNA", at positions 524 to 776 of the family's 1533-position model. The record is from RNAcentral.